CACGUAGUUAGCCGUGGCUUAUUCGAGAGGUACCGUCUUCUGCUCUUCCCUCUUAAAAGAAGUUUACAACCCGAAAGCCUUCUUCCUUCACGCGGCGUUGCUGGGUCAGGCUUGCGCCCAUUGCCCAAUAUUCCCCACUGCUGCCUCCCGUAGGAGUCUGGGCCGUAUCUCAGUCCCAAUGUGGCCGGUCAACCUCUCAGUCCGGCUACUGAUCGUCGCCUAGGUGGGCCGUUACCCCGCUACUAGCUAAUCAGACGCGAGGCCAUCUUCCAGCGAUAAAUCUUUGACAUUCAAACCAUGCGAUUCAAAUGUGUCAUGCGGUAUUAGCAGUCGUUUCCAACUGUUGUCCCCCUCUGGAAGGCAGGUUCCUCACGCGUUACUCACCAGUCCGCCACUAAGCAUUCCUCUCCAUUGUCCGAAAACUCUUUCAAGGGUCGCUCCGUUCGACUUGCAUGUGUUAAGCACGCCGCAGCGUCGUCCUGUAGCAGGAGUACAACGUCU
Molecule: ribosomal RNA, 501 nt
Filed under: uncultured Oscillibacter sp.
Lineage: Bacteria; Bacillati; Bacillota; Clostridia; Eubacteriales; Oscillospiraceae
Description: partial 16S ribosomal RNA
Source: RNAcentral